UUUCAAAUGUGUUUGAACAAUUCAGAUGAGAAGUGCCCAGUAGAUACUUGUCUGGCAAGAUGAAAUGUCUUGAGAAAAAGGAAAGAUUAACAACAUUUUGGAUGGGGCAGCAGGACAAAAAAGAAGAAUACUAUACCAGUCACAUGCAGAAUGAAUGAUGGAGGAAGGAACUACUUGUCUCCUAGGACCAGGGAAUUUAGGAAUGGCAAAGGAGCUUCUCUGAGCAUUUAGGUGGCAUAAAGAGAGGUCACACUGCAGGAGGAGUAUUUCCCGAUGAGGUGCUGAAGAACUAAACACUGAUCGAUGGUGGAGCAACCUUCCCUGAAGCCUGCUUGUUCCUCAGCAAGAAGAUUUUCCUGUUCCAGCCAGUACCUCAGUUUCCCAUAUAAGUGUCACACGUAAAGUUUUCUAAUAGUAUUGAGCAAACUAAUGGGUCCGUAAUUGGCGGAGACAUCCUUCCUGCCCUUUUAAAAUAUGGGGGCGAUGAUCACUAACCCCCAGUCCUUGGGAAUUCAACCUCUUGUAUCAAUAUAGGCAAUGCCAAAAUAGGAGCCCACCAAUCCAGAUUGGUUUUGACAGCCUCCGGCGGAAUAAGGUCUUCCCCUGGAGCCUUCCCUGGUCUUAACUGGGCAACUAGACUGUGGAUCUCUGAAGUUGUAACAGGAUCCCAUGCUGGAGUACCCUCAAUGGGACAGGCAGGGCUUCCACAAUCACCGCAGGGUCUUUGUAUAUCUCACGAAAGUAUUUCUCCCAAAUCUCUGGGUGAAAGUGACAAUCCAAGUGGUUCGGACUGUACCUGGGAGAGUGCUUUGUGAAUGUGAAAGAACGUUAUAGGAACGGAAAAGAAAUAAAUCAGCAGGAAAAGUUAAUCUGGCAGCUGACCUUUUGAAACUAGCAGGAAAUUAUUUCAGAACA
Hemicordylus capensis (graceful crag lizard) is the source of this 915-nucleotide long non-coding RNA. RefSeq lists it as uncharacterized. NCBI's taxonomy places the organism in Eukaryota, Metazoa, Chordata, Lepidosauria, Squamata, Cordylidae. The transcript has 3 exons. The record is from RefSeq and is a predicted model, not a curated record.